AGUGUAGGCGGGAUCGUAAGUUAGGAGUUUAAUGCAUGGGCUUAACCCAUGAUCUGCUUUUAAUACUGCGGUUCUUGAGUAUGGGAGAGGGCGAUGGAAUUCCAGGUGUAGCGGUGGAAUGCGUAGAUAUCUGGAAGAACACCAGUAGCGAAGGCGGUCGCCUGGCCCAAUACUGACGCUGAUGCUCGAAAGCUAGGGGAGCAAACAGGAUUAGAUACCCUGGUAGUCCUAGCCGUAAACGAUGGACACUAGUUGCUGGAGGGGUCAAUCCUUUCGGUGACGAAGCUAACGCAUUAAGUGUCCCGCCUGGGGAGUACGCUCGCAAGGGUGAA
RNAcentral lists this ribosomal RNA (332 nucleotides) under uncultured bacterium. RNAcentral describes it as "bacterial SSU rRNA". It matches the Rfam family "Bacterial small subunit ribosomal RNA", at positions 568 to 898 of the family's 1533-position model. The record is from RNAcentral.